ACAGGAUGAAAAUCACACUUGGCGUGAUCAGUCGCCCUUGGUGAGAUAACUGUGCCAAUAUUGACCCGGAGUGUUAAGCUUAUUACCCGCAAUAAACAUGCGAACGUAAUGAAACCCACGCUCCUACACUG
Molecule: small nucleolar RNA, 131 nt
Filed under: Leptobrachium leishanense (Leishan spiny toad)
Lineage: Eukaryota; Metazoa; Chordata; Amphibia; Anura; Megophryidae
Description: Small nucleolar RNA ACA64 (ENSLLEG00000022255.1)
Rfam family: Small nucleolar RNA ACA64
Source: Rfam by way of RNAcentral